This is a long non-coding RNA of Oreochromis aureus, 826 nucleotides long. NCBI's taxonomy places the organism in Eukaryota, Metazoa, Chordata, Actinopteri, Cichliformes, Cichlidae. The record is from Ensembl.
UUAAACGUUAAAGUCUGGACUACAACAAUCAUGCCGUUCAGGAAUGCUUGUCGUCUCUUUGUGGGUGUCAUCAUUUACAUCUCAGGUGUUAAUGGAGGAGAAACCAGGAUCUGUGCUCUCAAAGGUUCAUCGGUGGAUCUGCACUGCUCACAUCAACAUCUGACUUCAAGCACCAAAUGGUUCACUAUCCAAUGGAAGGGAAAUUAUGUUCAGAGUGAGCUCUCUGUGGAUGGACAACGUGUAACGUACAACAUGUCUGAAGAGAAAAACACAACUUUAACCAUCAGUGAUCUAAGAGAGAGUGAUGCAAACGCUUACUGCUGUAUGAAGACUACAGACAGUCCACAACUCUGUUGGCUCAACAGAAUUAGUCUUCAAGUAGUUGCAGGGCUGCAGGUAAAGGUGAUUCCUGCCACAGAGGGACAGACAGUAACACUGAUGUGCAGCAGCAGCUGUCCUCUGACUGAAAAGCCUGCAGCCUACAUCUGGUACAAGAACAGAGAGUUUCUCUAUGAGGACUGGUCUCCCUGGUACCAAGAGCUGCUCAGCAGUGAGGAAGCAGUCACAUACUCCUGUGCUGUCAAAGGCUACGAGGAUCUCAGAGCCCCUGAAGUCUCUGUGGAUUCCAUCACAGAGACCUGCUUCAGUGUUACUUAUGCAUAUGGAGACAUGUGUUCUUAUAAACAGACAUCAGUGGAUGAGCCGUGCUCCAUCACAUAUCCCAGAGAGGUUCAUGUUCAAAGGACUUCUUCCAUUUCUGGGUUUGUUACACUGGCUUGUAGCACAAGAUGUAAUCUGACAGACCCUCAGACUACCUACCUCUGGU